This 72-nucleotide transfer RNA is filed under the name Ovis aries (sheep). It matches the Rfam family "tRNA". From Rfam's summary of the family: Transfer RNA (tRNA) molecules are approximately 80 nucleotides in length. The record is from Rfam by way of RNAcentral. Lineage: Eukaryota; Metazoa; Chordata; Mammalia; Artiodactyla; Bovidae.
UCCCUGGUGGCUCAGAUGGUAAAGCGUCUGCCUACAAUGCAGGAGACCCAGGUUCAAUCCGUGGAUCGGGAA